This 253-nucleotide ribosomal RNA is filed under the name uncultured microorganism. RNAcentral's name for it is "partial 16S ribosomal RNA". It matches the Rfam family "Bacterial small subunit ribosomal RNA", at positions 524 to 776 of the family's 1533-position model. The record is from RNAcentral.
UACGGAGGGGGCAAGCGUUGUUCGGAGUUACUGGGCGUAAAGGGUGCGUAGGCGGCCGGAUAAGUCAUAGGUUAAAGCCCGGAGCUCAACUCCGGAAAAGCCUAUGAUACUGUCUGGCUUGAGGGCCGGAGAGGCUGGCGGAAUUCCCGGUGUAGGGGUGAAAUCCGUAGAUAUCGGGAGGAACACCGGUGGGGAAGCCGGCCAGCUGGACGGUUCCUGACGCUGAGGCACGAAAGCGUGGGGAGCAAACAGG